Molecule: transfer RNA, 55 nt
Filed under: Bigelowiella natans
Lineage: Eukaryota; Cercozoa; Chlorarachniophyceae
Description: partial tRNA
Source: RNAcentral
AAUAGGAAUUUUAACUUUAUGGGCUUCUUUGUCACUGAUCAUAUUCGUUGCUCAG